AUGCUUGGCACAUGGAGUACAGUUUUAAAAGGUUCAGCCUUGAGUUGGUGGAGGGCGGCCAAGUGUACAGUCCAUGAUUGGAAAUCAUUUAAAGAAGCUUUCAAGGCAGCCUUUCUUCCUGCAGAUUACAUGAGUGAAGUGGAGGAAAAUUUGAGAAUGAUGGUGCAGCAACCUGGACAAAAGCUCAGAGACUUUGCAUAUGAUUAUAGGGCUUUGUGCAUAAAAUGGAAACCAGAGUUGAGUGAGGAAGAGCUUGUAAACAAGAUCCUCAAUAACAUCAACCCUAAAAUAGCAGGUUCCCUGAGGGGCACUGUACAUUCGGUGGAACAACUCGUUAAGAUUGGAUCCAUGGUGGAAAAAGAUUGUAUGAACAUAAAAGAUUACUGGCAAAAAGUCAAUGACCAAGCGGGUAAAGACAAGAUGAAUAAAAGAGGCUCUGACAAACCAGUUGUACCAACUGUGUCAGCAGGACUAUCGGUGAUUCAACGACCACACCAUCGGAAUCAAAUUAAUCCAGCAUCGCUUUUGGUGGUCCCUAUCAUACUGGAUGGAUGGCAAGUUGAUGCUGUGGUGGAUACAGGAAGUGCUUUUACCCUGAUGCAAGAGAGCCGAUGGAAAGAAAUUGCAGGUAUGCAUGAUGAAAUUCAGAAUGUGAAGCAGAACUUUGUGAUGGCUGAUGGCAAGCUGCAUCAAUCGAAGGGACAAGUAGAGCUGAAGUAUGAUUGGCACCAAGAAAGGGGGAAGGUGAAGGUGUAUAUAAUGGAAGACUCCCACCUGGUCUUUCCCGUUGUUUUGGGAUUAGACUUUUUAACUCGUGUGGGUGCCACCUUUGAUUUCUCCCAACUCUGUUACAAACUACCCUCUAAAAAAGAUGACUCUGGUUAUCCUUUUAUCUGUAGCCAGCAACCAUCUUUUGUACAAAGAUCAGGACAUCAAAUGAUGGGCUCCCGUCCCCAGAGCAAUCUUAGCUUGUAUUACCCUAUAACUGAGGAACAAGGUUUUUCCUUUUUAAGAACCAGACAGGAUGAGCCAGGAAUGGUUGGGGGAGAUCUGUUCCCUUCCGAAGUGCAGUAG
Long non-coding RNA from Cyprinus carpio (common carp), 1074 nucleotides. Lineage: Eukaryota; Metazoa; Chordata; Actinopteri; Cypriniformes; Cyprinidae. The record is from Ensembl.